UAGGGAAUCUUCGGCAAAUGGACGGAAGUCUGACCGAGCAACGCCGCGUGAGUGAAGAAGGUUUUCGGAUCGUAAAGCUCUGUUGUAAGAGAAGAACGAGUGUGAGAGUGGAAAGUUCACACUGUGACGGUAUCUUACCAGAAAGGGACGGCUAACUACGUGCCAGCAGCCGCGGUAAUACGUAGGUCCCGAGCGUUGUCCGGAUUUAUUGGGCGUAAAGCGAGCGCAGGCGGUUAGAUAAGUCUGAAGUUAAAGGCUGUGGCUUAACCAUAGUACGCUUUGGAAACUGUUUAACUUGAGUGCAAGAGGGGAGAGUGGAAUUCCAUGUGUAGCGGUGAAAUGCGUAGAUAUAUGGAGGAACACCGGUGGCGAAAGCGGCUUUCUGGCUUGUAACUGACGCUGAGGCUCGAAAGCGUGGGGAGCAAACAGAUUAGAUACCCUGGUAGUCCACGCCGUAAACGAUGAGUGCUAGGUGUUAGACCCUUUCCGGGGUUUAGUGCCGCAGCUAACGCAUUAAGCACUCCGCCUGGGGAGUACAAGGCAAGGUUG
RNAcentral lists this ribosomal RNA (549 nucleotides) under uncultured bacterium. RNAcentral describes it as "bacterial SSU rRNA". It matches the Rfam family "Bacterial small subunit ribosomal RNA", at positions 355 to 896 of the family's 1533-position model. The record is from RNAcentral.